RNAcentral lists this transfer RNA (99 nucleotides) under Paenarthrobacter aurescens. RNAcentral describes it as "tRNA-Thr". Lineage: Bacteria; Bacillati; Actinomycetota; Actinomycetes; Micrococcales; Micrococcaceae. The record is from RNAcentral.
UCGCUCUGCAGCACAGCGGCCGAGCCUGUGGAGGACUGGUGCUUCUCCCGGACAGUUUCGAUGCUGGCCCGCAGCGGUUCCAAGUCCGCCUGAGCGGCC